GACGAACGCUGGCGGCGUGCUUAACACAUGCAAGUCGAACGGAAAGGCCCUGCUUUUGUGGGGUGCUCGAGUGGCGAACGGGUGAGUAACACGUGAGUAACCUGCCCUUGACUUUGGGAUAACUUCAGGAAACUGGGGCUAAUACCGGAUAGGAGCUCCUGCUGCAUGGUGGGGGUUGGAAAGUUUCGGCGGUUGGGGAUGGACUCGCGGCUUAUCAGCUUGUUGGUGGGGUAGUGGCUUACCAAGGCUUUGACGGGUAGCCGGCCUGAGAGGGUGACCGGCCCCAUGGGGACUGGGAUACGGCCCGGACUCCUACGGGGGGCAGCAGUGGGGAAUAUUGCACACUGGGCGGAAGCCGGAUGCAGCAACGCCGCGUGCGGGAUGACGGCCUUCGGGUUGUAAACCGCUUUCGCCUGUGACGAAGCGUGAGUGACGGUAAUGGGUAAAGAAGCACCGGCUAACUACGU
RNAcentral lists this ribosomal RNA (467 nucleotides) under uncultured bacterium. RNAcentral's name for it is "partial 16S ribosomal RNA". It matches the Rfam family "Bacterial small subunit ribosomal RNA", at positions 28 to 506 of the family's 1533-position model. The record is from RNAcentral.